GCAACAGAGAUAUUCAUCUGUUGAGGGUUGAGACAGACGUGUGAUCAGGGACUUGAGAGGGUUAAACAUAGGUUAGCCAUUGGAGGAGCUGGGGCAGUCACACAGCAAUGAAGAGAAGGUUAGAGGCCUUCCUGUAUCCCCAUCUAAGGACAUCGAGCAACGUGUGACAGUGCAUCAAGACCAGAGCAGCCACACGCAGCAGACUGGCUUCAUGCGCUUCUCAGAGGGGAGACAGUUUGGUGACUACACUUAAAGGGGAAAGUGAGGCACCAGAGAAAGUUCUGGCAUGACCCAACCCCAUAGCAAGUGGGUUGUCCCGGCAGCAGGAGCCCCAGGGUCUGGCCCACUCACCUUUUCUGCCAGCAGGUUACAUUUGGCUGGAUCUGUGACCUCCUGAGCAGUACAGUCAGUAGCAGCUACCACGAACUCCACCAAAGUAGAGACCGGGAGAGGCUGACAAUAAAAAUGAAAACACACAUGAG
Molecule: long non-coding RNA, 482 nt
Organism: Mesocricetus auratus (golden hamster)
Lineage: Eukaryota; Metazoa; Chordata; Mammalia; Rodentia; Cricetidae
Exons: 3
Source: RefSeq, a predicted model, not a curated record